This 389-nucleotide ribosomal RNA is filed under the name uncultured bacterium. Its description in RNAcentral is "bacterial SSU rRNA". It matches the Rfam family "Bacterial small subunit ribosomal RNA", at positions 28 to 419 of the family's 1533-position model. The record is from RNAcentral.
GACGAACGCUGGCGGCGUGCUUAACACAUGCAAGUCGAGCGGUAAGGCCCUUUCGGGGGUACACGAGCGGCGAACGGGUGAGUAACACGUGGGUGACCUGCCCUUAGCUCUGGGAUAAGCCUGGGAAACUGGGUCUAAUACCGGAUAUGACUCCAUGACGCAUGUUGUGGGGUGGAAAGCCUUGUGCGGCUAGGGAUGGGCCCGCGGCCUAUCAGCUUGUUGGUGGGGUGAUGGCCUACCAAGGCGACGACGGGUAGCCGGCCUGAGAGGGCGACCGGCCACACUGGGACUGAGACACGGCCCAGACUCCUACGGGAGGCAGCAGUGGGGAAUCUUGCGCAAUGAGCGAAAGCCUGACGCAGCGACGCCGCGUGGGGAUGACGGCCUGG